AUCACUACUUACGCCGCCCAAGGGGUGGAUCACUUCUGCAGUGUACAUCUAAUGUACAUUUAUUUGCAUCAAAUGCAUUUUUAUAACAUUCCCAUCAACUUAGCUUUGACUUUAACAACACCAACUUGUCAACGUAUCCUUCUAUAGCAACGCAUGAUUGUUUGUUGUGAAUGUUUCAAAAUGAUAAUCAAGCAAGAGCCUAUUGAACCAAAAAAUACCAUUUCAAUUCGCAUUUGAUGCCUUAUCAUCACAUAAAAAUCUGAUCGUUGAGGCAUUGUGUUAAGGAAUUCUGAAAUCAUGAGCUUUGUCUUGCUUCCAUGCGCAUAGAAAACUACAUGCUUGCAAGCAGGAAUAGUAAGAAACCCAUUUGCGGGAAGACCACAGUCUGUUAGGCGACUUGCAGCGAUAGAACCUGGGUCAUCACCAUUUGUACUUGAUUGGGCGGACAAAAUUUCUGUGGACUCAACACCCACCUGAAUAAAAAAGAACAAGAAAAAAUAGAUCGAAAAUAAAUAAUUGAAAUGA
Molecule: long non-coding RNA, 525 nt
Filed under: Aedes aegypti (yellow fever mosquito)
Lineage: Eukaryota; Metazoa; Arthropoda; Insecta; Diptera; Culicidae
Description: lncRNA AAEL023328
Source: RNAcentral